Molecule: ribosomal RNA, 575 nt
Filed under: uncultured Cenococcum
Lineage: Eukaryota; Fungi; Ascomycota; Dothideomycetes; Gloniales; Gloniaceae
Description: eukaryotic LSU rRNA
Rfam family: 5.8S ribosomal RNA (bases 202-355)
Source: RNAcentral
GACGAUUGGAAGUAAAAGUCGUAACAAGGUUUCCGUAGGUGAACCUGCGGAAGGAUCAUUACAGAAAGUAAACGCGGAUCGAACCGCGAACUUCUAAACCUUUGACGAUUGACUCAUGUUGCCUCGGCGGGUUCUCCCGCCAGAGGAUACAUCAAAACUCCUGUUUUAACGGUGUUGUCUGAGCUACAAGCAACGAAUCAAAACUUUCAACAACGGAUCUCUUGGUUCUGGCAUCGAUGAAGAACGCAGCGAAAUGCGAUAAGUAGUGUGAAUUGCAGAAUUCAGUGAAUCAUCGAAUCUUUGAACGCACAUUGCGCCCCUUGGUAUCCCGAGGGGCAUGCCUGUUCGAGCGUCAUUUCACCACUCAAGCCUGGCUUGGUGUUGGGCGACGUCCCCUUUGGGGACGCGCCUCGAAACGCUCGGCGGCGUGGCACCGGCUUUAAGCGUAGCAGAAUCUUUCGCUUUAAAAGUCGGGGCCCCGUCUGCCGGAAGACCUACUCGCAAGGUUGACCUCGGAUCAGGCAGGGAUACCCGCUGAACUUAAGCAUAUCAAUAAGCGGAGGAAAGAAACCAAC